GGCACAAACUUGAAGUGGAAUAGUUGGGUAUGGUCAGCUGAUUCUACCGUUCUACUCUGCUUCAAGUUAGUGCAC
This 75-nucleotide microRNA precursor is filed under the name Haemonchus placei. RNAcentral's name for it is "mir-5928 microRNA precursor family". It matches the Rfam family "mir-5928 microRNA precursor family". Lineage: Eukaryota; Metazoa; Nematoda; Chromadorea; Rhabditida; Trichostrongylidae. The record is from Rfam by way of RNAcentral.